GUCCACGCCCUAACGAUGUUAACUCGAUAUUAUUCUUCGGAGUGAGUGUCCAAGCGAAAGCGUUAAGUUAACCACCUGGGAGUACGUUCGCAAGAAUGAAACUCAAAGGAAUUGACGGGUCCGCACAAGCGGUGGAGCAUGUGGUUUAAUUCGAUGAUACGCGAGGAACCUUACCUAGGCUAGAAUGCGAGUGCCGAUUCCUGAAAGGGAAUUUUCCUUCGGGACACAAAGCAAGGUGCUGCAUGGCUGUCGU
Molecule: ribosomal RNA, 253 nt
Filed under: uncultured bacterium
Lineage: Bacteria
Description: partial 16S ribosomal RNA
Rfam family: Bacterial small subunit ribosomal RNA
Source: RNAcentral